GUAUGUGAACCUGCGGAAGGAUCAUUAACACGUUUCCAUAACCUUUAUUAACCCAUCUGAGAACAUGUGUGGUUUUUGGCCUCCUUUCUCUGACGAGAUUGUGUACGGGUCAAAGACUCUCGUUUGAUUGGAAGCUGGGCUUCAGGUUGUGAAUGAUUUAGUUCAUUCAUUAUAUCAGGAGUCUAGUCUUUCCUAUCAAGCAUUUUUUUCUUUCUCACCCCUAGAAAGUACUCGAUGUUGUUUUCUUCGG
RNAcentral lists this unclassified non-coding RNA (250 nucleotides) under plant metagenome. Its description in RNAcentral is "partial contains small subunit ribosomal RNA, internal transcribed spacer 1, and 5.8S ribosomal RNA". The record is from RNAcentral.